Molecule: long non-coding RNA, 306 nt
Organism: Tachyglossus aculeatus (Australian echidna)
Lineage: Eukaryota; Metazoa; Chordata; Mammalia; Monotremata; Tachyglossidae
Exons: 3
Source: RefSeq, a predicted model, not a curated record
AAGAAAGUGGGCACCCCAGUGUUUGCCUGUUCAAUCUAAAACUAGCAAGCACCACUUCAAAUAAGAUGACACGAAAGACUGCUGAAAAGCUCGGACUAACGGAAAGGCACGAGACUGGAUGUCAUGAGACCCAGGUCUAAUCCCAACUCUGCUACUGGCCUGCUGUCUGACCUUGGCUAUAAUAGCUCUGCUAAUUUAUCAAAAUAAUACGAGCACAUUAAAGGGAAUGGAAAAAGAAUGUGGUGGAUGAAGGAGAUUUGAGAAAAUUAACAUCUUUAACUUGCAAGUAAAUGCAGAAUGAAAAGG